Molecule: ribosomal RNA, 446 nt
Filed under: uncultured bacterium
Lineage: Bacteria
Description: partial 16S ribosomal RNA
Rfam family: Bacterial small subunit ribosomal RNA
Source: RNAcentral
GGCCAGACUCCUACGGGAGGCAGCAGUGGGGAAUAUUGCACAAUGGGGGAAACCCUGAUGCAGCGACGCCGCGUGAGUGAAGAAGUAUUUCGGUAUGUAAAGCUCUCUCAGCAGGAAAGAAAAUGACGGUACCUGACUAAGAAGCCCCGGCUAACUACGUGCCAGCAGCCGCGGUAAUACGUAGGGGGCAAGCGUUAUCCGGAUUUACUUGGUGUAAAGGGAGCGUAGACGGUGAAGCAAGUCUGAAGUGAAAGGCGGGGGCUCAACCCCCGGACUGCUUUGGAAACUGUUUGACUGGAGUGCAGGAGAGGUAAGUGGAAUUCCUAGUGUAGCGGUGAAAUGCGUAGAUAUUAGGAGGAACACCAGUGGCGAAGGCGGCUUACUGGACUGUAACUGACGUUGAGGCUCGAAAGCGUGGGGAGCAAACAGGAUUAGAUACCCCAGUA